This 301-nucleotide ribosomal RNA is filed under the name uncultured bacterium. Its description in RNAcentral is "partial 16S ribosomal RNA". It matches the Rfam family "Bacterial small subunit ribosomal RNA", at positions 509 to 807 of the family's 1533-position model. The record is from RNAcentral.
CAGCAGCCGCGGUAAUACGAAGGGGGCUAGCGUUGCUCGGAAUGACUGGGCGUAAAGGGCGCGUAGGCGGAUUGCGCAGUCAGAUGUGAAAUUCCUGGGCUUAACCUGGGGGCUGCAUUUGAGACGCGUAGUCUAGAGUGUGAAAGAGGGUCGUGGAAUUCCCAGUGUAGAGGUGAAAUUCGUAGAUAUUGGGAAGAACACCGGUGGCGAAGGCGGCGACCUGGUUCAUAACUGACGCUGAGGCGCGAAAGCGUGGGGAGCAAACAGGAUUAGAUACCCCCGUAGUCCCUGUCUCUUAUAC